RNAcentral lists this ribosomal RNA (403 nucleotides) under bacterium. RNAcentral's name for it is "partial 16S ribosomal RNA". It matches the Rfam family "Bacterial small subunit ribosomal RNA", at positions 355 to 776 of the family's 1533-position model. The record is from RNAcentral.
UGGGGAAUAUUGCACAAUGGGGGAAACCCUGAUGCAGCGACGCCGCGUGAACGAAGAAGGUAUUCGUAUCGUAAAGUUCUGUCCUAUGGGAAGAUAAUGACAGUACCAUAGAAGAAAGCUCCGGCUAAAUACGUGCCAGCAGCCGCGGUAAUACGUAUGGAGCGAGCGUUGUCCGGAAUUAUUGGGCGUAAAGGGUACGCAGGCGGUUUAAUAAGUCGAAUGUUAAAGAUCGGGGCUCAACCCCGUAAAGCAUUGGAAACUGAUAAACGUGAGGAGUGGAGAGGAAAGUGGAAUUCCUGGUGUAGUGGGGAAAUACGUAGAUAUUAGGGGGAGUGCCGGUAGCGAAGGCGACGUUCUGGAGAGAAACUGACGCUGAGGUACGAAAGGGUGGGGAGCAAAGGGG